This 229-nucleotide ribosomal RNA is filed under the name uncultured bacterium. RNAcentral's name for it is "partial 16S ribosomal RNA". It matches the Rfam family "Bacterial small subunit ribosomal RNA", at positions 104 to 334 of the family's 1533-position model. The record is from RNAcentral.
CGGGGUGAGUAAUGUCUGGGAAACUGCCUGAUGGAGGGGGAUAGCUACUGGAAACGGUAGCUAAUACCGCAUAACGUCGCAAGACCAAAGAGGGGGACCUUAGGGCCUCUUGCCAUCGGAUGUGCCCAGAUGGGAUUAGCUAGUAGGUGGGGUAAUGGCUCACCUAGGCGACGAUCCCUAGCUGGUCUGAGAGGAUGACCAGCCACACUGGAACUGAGACACGGUCCAG